Molecule: ribosomal RNA, 2793 nt
Filed under: Escherichia coli
Lineage: Bacteria; Pseudomonadati; Pseudomonadota; Gammaproteobacteria; Enterobacterales; Enterobacteriaceae
Description: bacterial LSU rRNA
Rfam family: Bacterial large subunit ribosomal RNA
Source: RNAcentral
UUAAGCGACUAAGCGUACACGGUGGAUGCCCUGGCAGUCAGAGGCGAUGAAGGACGUGCUAAUCUGCGAUAAGCGUCGGUAAGGUGAUAUGAACCGUUAUAACCGGCGAUUUCCGAAUGGGGAAACCCAGUGUGUUUCGACACACUAUCAUUAACUGAAUCCAUAGGUUAAUGAGGCGAACCGGGGGAACUGAAACAUCUAAGUACCCCGAGGAAAAGAAAUCAACCGAGAUUCCCCCAGUAGCGGCGAGCGAACGGGGAGCAGCCCAGAGCCUGAAUCAGUGUGUGUGUUAGUGGAAGCGUCUGGAAAGGCGCGCGAUACAGGGUGACAGCCCCGUACACAAAAAUGCACAUGCUGUGAGCUCGAUGAGUAGGGCGGGACACGUGGUAUCCUGUCUGAAUAUGGGGGGACCAUCCUCCAAGGCUAAAUACUCCUGACUGACCGAUAGUGAACCAGUACCGUGAGGGAAAGGCGAAAAGAACCCCGGCGAGGGGAGUGAAAAAGAACCUGAAACCGUGUACGUACAAGCAGUGGGAGCACGCUUAGGCGUGUGACUGCGUACCUUUUGUAUAAUGGGUCAGCGACUUAUAUUCUGUAGCAAGGUUAACCGAAUAGGGGAGCCGAAGGGAAACCGAGUCUUAACUGGGCGUUAAGUUGCAGGGUAUAGACCCGAAACCCGGUGAUCUAGCCAUGGGCAGGUUGAAGGUUGGGUAACACUAACUGGAGGACCGAACCGACUAAUGUUGAAAAAUUAGCGGAUGACUUGUGGCUGGGGGUGAAAGGCCAAUCAAACCGGGAGAUAGCUGGUUCUCCCCGAAAGCUAUUUAGGUAGCGCCUCGUGAAUUCAUCUCCGGGGGUAGAGCACUGUUUCGGCAAGGGGGUCAUCCCGACUUACCAACCCGAUGCAAACUGCGAAUACCGGAGAAUGUUAUCACGGGAGACACACGGCGGGUGCUAACGUCCGUCGUGAAGAGGGAAACAACCCAGACCGCCAGCUAAGGUCCCAAAGUCAUGGUUAAGUGGGAAACGAUGUGGGAAGGCCCAGACAGCCAGGAUGUUGGCUUAGAAGCAGCCAUCAUUUAAAGAAAGCGUAAUAGCUCACUGGUCGAGUCGGCCUGCGCGGAAGAUGUAACGGGGCUAAACCAUGCACCGAAGCUGCGGCAGCGACGCUUAUGCGUUGUUGGGUAGGGGAGCGUUCUGUAAGCCUGCGAAGGUGUGCUGUGAGGCAUGCUGGAGGUAUCAGAAGUGCGAAUGCUGACAUAAGUAACGAUAAAGCGGGUGAAAAGCCCGCUCGCCGGAAGACCAAGGGUUCCUGUCCAACGUUAAUCGGGGCAGGGUGAGUCGACCCCUAAGGCGAGGCCGAAAGGCGUAGUCGAUGGGAAACAGGUUAAUAUUCCUGUACUUGGUGUUACUGCGAAGGGGGGACGGAGAAGGCUAUGUUGGCCGGGCGACGGUUGUCCCGGUUUAAGCGUGUAGGCUGGUUUUCCAGGCAAAUCCGGAAAAUCAAGGCUGAGGCGUGAUGACGAGGCACUACGGUGCUGAAGCAACAAAUGCCCUGCUUCCAGGAAAAGCCUCUAAGCAUCAGGUAACAUCAAAUCGUACCCCAAACCGACACAGGUGGUCAGGUAGAGAAUACCAAGGCGCUUGAGAGAACUCGGGUGAAGGAACUAGGCAAAAUGGUGCCGUAACUUCGGGAGAAGGCACGCUGAUAUGUAGGUGAAGCGACUUGCUCGUGGAGCUGAAAUCAGUCGAAGAUACCAGCUGGCUGCAACUGUUUAUUAAAAACACAGCACUGUGCAAACACGAAAGUGGACGUAUACGGUGUGACGCCUGCCCGGUGCCGGAAGGUUAAUUGAUGGGGUUAGCCGCAAGGCGAAGCUCUUGAUCGAAGCCCCGGUAAACGGCGGCCGUAACUAUAACGGUCCUAAGGUAGCGAAAUUCCUUGUCGGGUAAGUUCCGACCUGCACGAAUGGCGUAAUGAUGGCCAGGCUGUCUCCACCCGAGACUCAGUGAAAUUGAACUCGCUGUGAAGAUGCAGUGUACCCGCGGCAAGACGGAAAGACCCCGUGAACCUUUACUAUAGCUUGACACUGAACAUUGAGCCUUGAUGUGUAGGAUAGGUGGGAGGCUUUGAAGUGUGGACGCCAGUCUGCAUGGAGCCGACCUUGAAAUACCACCCUUUAAUGUUUGAUGUUCUAACGUUGACCCGUAAUCCGGGUUGCGGACAGUGUCUGGUGGGUAGUUUGACUGGGGCGGUCUCCUCCUAAAGAGUAACGGAGGAGCACGAAGGUUGGCUAAUCCUGGUCGGACAUCAGGAGGUUAGUGCAAUGGCAUAAGCCAGCUUGACUGCGAGCGUGACGGCGCGAGCAGGUGCGAAAGCAGGUCAUAGUGAUCCGGUGGUUCUGAAUGGAAGGGCCAUCGCUCAACGGAUAAAAGGUACUCCGGGGAUAACAGGCUGAUACCGCCCAAGAGUUCAUAUCGACGGCGGUGUUUGGCACCUCGAUGUCGGCUCAUCACAUCCUGGGGCUGAAGUAGGUCCCAAGGGUAUGGCUGUUCGCCAUUUAAAGUGGUACGCGAGCUGGGUUUAGAACGUCGUGAGACAGUUCGGUCCCUAUCUGCCGUGGGCGCUGGAGAACUGAGGGGGGCUGCUCCUAGUACGAGAGGACCGGAGUGGACGCAUCACUGGUGUUCGGGUUGUCAUGCCAAUGGCACUGCCCGGUAGCUAAAUGCGGAAGAGAUAAGUGCUGAAAGCAUCUAAGCACGAAACUUGCCCCGAGAUGAGUUCUCCCUGAC